Molecule: ribosomal RNA, 799 nt
Filed under: Acinetobacter radioresistens WC-A-157
Lineage: Bacteria; Pseudomonadati; Pseudomonadota; Gammaproteobacteria; Moraxellales; Moraxellaceae
Description: bacterial SSU rRNA
Rfam family: Bacterial small subunit ribosomal RNA
Source: RNAcentral
GAACGCUGGCGGCAGGCUUAACACAUGCAAGUCGAGCGGAUGAAAGUAGCUUGCUACCGGAUUCAGCGGCGGACGGGUGAGUAAUGCUUAGGAAUCUGCCUAUUAGUGGGGGACAACGUUCCGAAAGGAGCGCUAAUACCGCAUACGUCCUACGGGAGAAAGCAGGGGACCUUCGGGCCUUGCGCUAAUAGAUGAGCCUAAGUCGGAUUAGCUAGUUGGUAGGGUAAAGGCCUACCAAGGCGACGAUCUGUAGCGGGUCUGAGAGGAUGAUCCGCCACACUGGGACUGAGACACGGCCCAGACUCCUACGGGAGGCAGCAGUGGGGAAUAUUGGACAAUGGGGGGAACCCUGAUCCAGCCAUGCCGCGUGUGUGAAGAAGGCCUUUUGGUUGUAAAGCACUUUAAGCGAGGAGGAGGCUACCUAGAUUAAUACUUUAGGAUAGUGGACGUUACUCGCAGAAUAAGCACCGGCUAACUCUGUGCCAGCAGCCGCGGUAAUACAGAGGGUGCGAGCGUUAAUCGGAUUUACUGGGCGUAAAGCGUGCGUAGGCGGCCAAUUAAGUCAAAUGUGAAAUCCCCGAGCUUAACUUGGGAAUUGCAUUCGAUACUGGUUGGCUAGAGUAUGGGAGAGGAUGGUAGAAUUCCAGGUGUAGCGGUGAAAUGCGUAGAGAUCUGGAGGAAUACCGAUGGCGAAAGCAGCCAUCUGGCCUAAUACUGACGCUGAGGUACGAAAGCAUGGGGAGCAAGCAGAUUAGAUACCCUGGUAGUCCAUGCCGUAAACGAUGUCUACUAGCCGUUG